CCUACGGGUGGCAGCAGUAGGGAAUCUUCCACAAUGGACGAAAGUCUGAUGGAGCAACGCCGCGUGAGUGAAGAAGGGUUUCGGCUCGUAAAGCUCUGUUGGUAGUGAAGAAAGAUAGAGGUAGUAACUGGCCUUUAUUUGACGGUAAUUACUUAGAAAGUCACGGCUAACUACGUGCCAGCAGCCGCGGUAAUACGUAGGUGGCAAGCGUUGUCCGGAUUUAUUGGGCGUAAAGCGAGUGCAGGCGGUUCAAUAAGUCUGAUGUGAAAGCCUUCGGCUCAACCGGAGAAUUGCAUCAGAAACUGUUGAACUUGAGUGCAGAAGAGGAGAGUGGAACUCCAUGUGUAGCGGUGGAAUGCGUAGAUAUAUGGAAGAACACCAGUGGCGAAGGCGGCCGCCUGGCCUGUUGCUGACGCUGAGGCACGAAAGCGUGGGGAGCAAAUAGGAUUAGAUACCCUUGUAGUC
This 465-nucleotide ribosomal RNA is filed under the name uncultured bacterium. RNAcentral describes it as "partial 16S ribosomal RNA". It matches the Rfam family "Bacterial small subunit ribosomal RNA", at positions 338 to 795 of the family's 1533-position model. The record is from RNAcentral.